GACAGAGGCCUCGAGCGUUAGGCGGAAUCACUGGGCUUAAAGCGUGUAUAGGCGGAUCGUUAAGUACCUUGUGAAAUCCCACGGCUCAACCGUGGAACGGCUGGGUAUACUGGCGGUCUUGGGCCAUUCAGGGGCGACUGGAACAAGCGGUGGAGCGGUGAAAUGCGUAGAUAUCGCUUGGAACGCCGAAGGUGAAAACAGGUCGCUGGGGAUGUGCCGACGCUGAGACACGAAAGCCAGGGGAGCAAACGGG
RNAcentral lists this ribosomal RNA (253 nucleotides) under uncultured bacterium. RNAcentral describes it as "partial 16S ribosomal RNA". It matches the Rfam family "Bacterial small subunit ribosomal RNA", at positions 524 to 776 of the family's 1533-position model. The record is from RNAcentral.